UACGGAGGGAGCUAGCGUUGUUCGGAAUUACUGGGCGUAAAGCGCACGUAGGCGGCUAUUCAAGUCGGGGGUGAAAGCCCGGGGCUCAACCCCGGAACUGCCCUCGAAACUAGAUAGCUAGAAUCUUGGAGAGGCGAGUGGAAUUCCGAGUGUAGAGGUGAAAUUCGUAGAUAUUCGGAAGAACACCAGUGGCGAAGGCGACUCGCUGGACAAGUAUUGACGCUGAGGUGCGAAAGCCAGGGGAGCAAACGGG
Molecule: ribosomal RNA, 253 nt
Filed under: uncultured bacterium
Lineage: Bacteria
Description: partial 16S ribosomal RNA
Rfam family: Bacterial small subunit ribosomal RNA
Source: RNAcentral